AACGAACGCUGACGGCAGGCUUAACACAUGCAAGUCGAACGGACGUAGCAAUACGUUAGUGGCAGACGGGUGAGUAACGCGUGGGAAUGUGCCCUUUAGUUCGGAAUAACACAGAGAAAUUUGUGCUAAUACCGGAUAAGCCCGAGAGGGGAAAGAUUUAUCGCUGAAGGAGCAGCCCGCGUCUGAUUAGCUAGUUGGUGAGGUAAUGGCUCACCAAGGCGACGAUCAGUAGCUGGUCUGAGAGGAUGAUCAGCCACACUGGGACUGAGACACGGCCCAGACUCCUACGGGAGGCAGCAGUGGGGAAUAUUGGACAAUGGGGGCAACCCUGAUCCAGCCACGCCGCGUGAGUGAUGAAGGCCUUAGGGUUGUAAAACUCUUUUGUCCGGGAAGAUAAUGACUGUACCGGAAGAAUAAGCCCCGGCUAACUUCGUGCCAGCAGCCGCCGUAA
This 451-nucleotide ribosomal RNA is filed under the name uncultured bacterium. RNAcentral describes it as "partial 16S ribosomal RNA". It matches the Rfam family "Bacterial small subunit ribosomal RNA", at positions 29 to 523 of the family's 1533-position model. The record is from RNAcentral.